This 535-nucleotide long non-coding RNA is filed under the name Chrysemys picta bellii (western painted turtle). Its description in RNAcentral is "lncRNA (ENSCPBG00000020254.1)". The record is from RNAcentral. Lineage: Eukaryota; Metazoa; Chordata; Testudines; Emydidae.
CAGUUGGUGCUCAUUGUACAUGGGUGUGUUUUUCAGGCCACAGCUGGAAGACAGAGAAGAUUAAGAACAAUAUCACAAUGUUUUGGCUAACCCUAUGCCUUCCACAACUAUCCAGUUGGAACUGUACACCUGAAGAAGACUGCAUUGGCUGUAUCCUCAUCUGUUCUGCCAUGCCGUUUUGCUGCUCUUGCCUCUGUAUUCCAACAUGAGGGUUGAUAUGGGUCGUUAUAGGCAAGCAACAGAGGGGGAGAUUCAAAUGGAUCUGUCAGAGCACGCCUCUGCCCCAAGCUCCGUAGGAGAGUUUAGAAAGACGAGUUAUCCUGUUGGAGUCCAAGGGAUUUGAAAGGCAAAACGGCAACUCCGGUAAAUGUGGGAGCUCUUUGGAUUUCCUGUUGGAAGUGGGCCUUUGUGCCCGGCCACAUUGUCUUGUGGUUGUCUUUGUGAGUAAGUGUGUGCUUCCCUCCGAGCCAAAGCUGGCUGCUGUAAUUGUGCCACAGUUGUUCAGACUUCGACCAAAGGACAUUGCAGAUGAGCA